ACAGUGCACCUGUGGGUCCCACCGGAACCGGAUCCGCCGGGUAACCCGUGUUGGUAUUAUUUUGGGGUUAACUUCCCCACGUAAUCGAGUGUUACGCGAUUCGUUAGACUGCUAAGAUUUCUUCUCUACCGUUUAAGCAUCUAAUCAACGUCUUUUUAACGGUGGAUUAAGCAAGAGGAAUCCGAGACCACCACGUAAGAGAAGCCGAUCCCCCCUUGUUUUACGCCGCCCUUUUCUGCAGCUCCACAGUAUCUUUGCAUUGUUAUGUAAUGGAUAAUGCCCUUGACAUUGUCGAUGAACAGCUGCUAGAAUUUACACCUUGUUAUUGGUCAAAUUUGUUUUAAUCGAAUGCCAACACUGAUGUGGUUUUUUGUGUCGUUGUCAUCUUCUCCAUGGACGUGCCCAAAUGGGAUCGUCAAUGAAUGCACCAGAUCCAAAUGGUAUCAUCCUCUUCCUCUGAACCUUUCUUGGUCACAUAUGGAUUCGUGAAGCUAAUGGACGAGCAACCAAACCAGGACCCAUGUACUUCAAUGGCGUCUACCACCUCUUCUACCAGUACAACCCCAAUGGCUCCGUGUGGGGUAACAUCGUGUGGGCCCACUCGGUGUCGACCGACCUCGUCAACUGGAUAGCACUCGACCCGGCCAUCCGCCCCAGCAAGCCAUUCGACAUCAACGGAUGCUGGUCCGGCUCCGCCACAGUCCUCCCCGGCAACAGGCCUGCGAUCUUNNNNNNNNNNNNNNNNNNNNUUAUUAAGAUUGGGUUUAGAAUUUUAUUUGGUGUGCAUAUGUUAGGUAAUAGAUAAUUUUGUGUAAGAAUUUAAGUUUGAAACUAAUUUUUAAGAAGGUGUUAGUCAAUUAAGUUGGUAAAAAUCUCGAUAGUUUAUCAUUAAAAAAAUUGAUAUUGUGUUUAUAUCAAGCUCAAAUUUGAACUUUGAAUCUAAUUUAUAGUUUACCAGUUUCGACAUUGAUUGUCUCGAUUCUCAAAUCAACGAUUUUAGUUUCAGAAAUGAUCGAUUUCGAUUCUUAAAUAAUUAAAACAAGAAUCGAAAUGAAUUGAAAUAAAAAUCUCUAAUUACAUAUAAGUAAUUAGAGAUUGGGGCUAAGUAGGAAUUUUGAUUUAGGAUUAACUAUAAGAUCAAAUUUUUAACAUUUAGAAUCCAUAUAAAUAAAAAAUAAUACAUUCUAUAAAAUCUGAUUUAUCAUUCGUCACUGUUCCUAUCAUACAUUUAUGUAUAAUUAAAUAUAGAAUUCGAUUUAGCAUUUGGAAUAUCUAUGGAGUCUUCCUCUUAUAAAUCAACACAUGAAAUAUCCCCAAUCAUCAUCAAAAAGUCACUUCACAUUAAUCGUCAUCAAAGACAUUCACUCCACGAACACAUAUGAUGAUGAUGAUGAUGAUGAUGUUGGGAGCUGCCCCAUCAAGUAGGAUGAUAGCUUCAUCUGCCGACUAAAAGUACUCAAAGCAUGCACUCAGUAUGAGCCAUACUGUGUUACUCCGACUACUGAUAGGAUUUUGCAGGUAUGGAGAAGCAAUAGAGGCCACAUGAAAGAGAGACUGGGAUACUGUGGAUUCCGAUUGGAAGGAUGCAGUCUCGCCACCAAGACAUGUCGAGCAUCACUCUCAUUUUUCCUGUUUCUGUCUGAGAUGUUGUGGGGCACAUCAAAUUAUUCAGAUAUUCUAAAAAAAAAAUAGCCAUCUGAUUUGGAUUAUUGUGUCUAUAAAGAAUCUUGCAAUUGUAUUUGUGGUUGGAUCGAAAUGUUAUUUGUUGAGCAUCAAUUUUGUUUAUUAAUUUAUUUUAAAUAAAUUAAUAAAAAUAAUAAUGAUGUGACGAACACCUCAUCGUUAUGUGUAAUUAAUAUGAGAAGAUCGACAUCUCGAUGUCAAAUGAUCGACGUUACAACUUUAAAUGGUUAACACCUUAUUCUCAAGUGGGUGACACCUCGAUGCUAUGUAGUGGACAUUCGAUGCUAGGUAAUUGACACAUCGAUAUCACAUACUCAGUAUUUUUAUCAUAUAUAAUUGAAUAUGACAUCAUCUCCCAAAUAUUACUGACUAUAUAUCGUGCCUUUUGUAUGUUUCUCAAAUUCUUCAUAAUAUUAUUCUACUAAAGCAACAUAAUAUACGGAGUCAUCACCAACAUCAAUACACAUCUAUAAGCAUAAUAGUCCUUAAGCCACACUAUAAAAUGUCCCUUUAGGUGUAUUCUAAAAUAUUUUAAAAAAAUUUCUCUCAUUCAAAUAUUAAAAUAUUCGACACUUUGCCAAUAACUUAACUUUUCAUGUAACUUAAGCAUAAGAAGAAUUUUAUCGAACAUGCCCAAACGUAACUUUACAGAUUGAUAUGUCCUAGAUUUGAUUAUUCACGAUACUAACGAGAGAUAGACGUGAAAUAAAUACUAUAACAAAAUGUGACUUUGCAUUGCGGAUAAGGGCUUGUAGUUUUUAUUCAUCGUAGUUAUAAAUAUCUGAUAGCGAUAGAUAUUGUUUCUACCAUUUUAAAUUAUAUUUUUAUUUGUAAUUCUUUAAGACCAUAGUAAUAGAUGAAUCAAAGAGUAGGAAUAGGACCAAAUAUGUUAUUCAUUACUGUUUUGGUUUCUAAUUUCUUUUCUUAAUCUAACUUUUUAUUGAAAAUAUGUUUGCUUUUAUUACAAGAACAAAUGAAGAAUCUUAUAACACAACAACAUCUUGAAUUGGCAGGAAUUGAUAUUCUAUUAAGUGAAGAUAUUGUUUAUCAAGGAUUAGGACUAGAAAAAUCAUGAUAUGUGCCAUGUUUUGAUAUAGAACCAUUUUCUUCAGAUUUUGUAGUAUCUAGAUAGAUCUCAUCGUUUAAAAUCUAUGACCACACAGUCUGAGAAUGAAAAAAGAUGAAGAAAUUCGAUAAUUAAAAGAAAAGCUUGAAAAGAAAGCUAAAGAUACAGAAGAAAUGGAAACUCAAUUGCAAAUAUUUCUGGAUGAAAGAGCUUCUCGAACAGAUAAUAUGAGUAAAAAAAUUUAAAACUUAUUUUAUCAUAUAAUUUUAAUUUUAUAUUUCUAUUUAUGUAUCUAAUCAUUAUCAUUCACUCUAUACAAGCACCUGACUUUGAGAGAAGUACUGCCAAGGAUUUCUUUUGUAAUUUUUUUGAUAUCAUGCUACUCAAAACUUUCAAGAGAAAAGUUCUUUGCGUCUGUACAUGACAUUGGAUCUACUUAAAAGUUGGUACUAUGAUUUUUGUAUCAAUUGAUUUGGUUAAUAAAAAAGAUUUUGUCUUCCUUUUUCUUGAAUUGUGAGCUAUCAUUGUGGUUAGUGUAUCCUAGUAAUUCGUAUAUUAUCGUGGUUAUCUUUCAUUGGAUUGGUGUAUCUAUUCAUGUAAUUAAAUAAUAGCAAAAACAUGUGAAUUAUGAUUGUGAUAGUUUUUUUUUUUUGGGUAAAAUUUGAUAGGGCAUAUCCUGAUAUCGUCCUUUAAUUAUCGAUUAGAAAUCAUAUCAGCCAGUAUGGAUUCUCGGAGCCGAAGUGGCACAUGCGCAUCUCAUACCCUUGGGAGAUGGCGGACCAUGCUCCAUCGCUCGGGAUCGUUUGAGAUGGUGCCUCAUAGCACAAAACUGCUCGAGAACGUGCGAAAUGACACUAUGCAGCACGAAACUGUACAGAUCGAUUUGCAUUGUACAAAGUAUACGGGUUGGUCAUCCAGAGCCUCAACGGUCAUUAGCGGAUCACAUAUGACUAACCCUUGAUCAUAGGUACAAAGGCCGACCUCGUAGCCAAGGCUAGGGGAUCAGACCUCGGAUACUAAAAACACUCUUAACUCAUCAUACUAACUUAAGCUUCUUAGGAUCGAGCAAGAAUCUCCCUCCCGACAUUGACUUAUAUACUAUAAGGUGACACCGAAGCAAGAAUCUAAGUCCAUGCUCUACCUUGGGUUGAUCCAGCAAACAAUGCUCCUACUCUACCCGACACCGAUUCCCUCACCUCAAAAGUCCACGUGGACGACAUUGUGUUCUCGGAAUCGAGCUGAGUCAUCAUGCUGACUCCCUCGACGGCAGCGCGAAAUUGCACAACAAAAGUAUCUAUUGCUGCAGUCAAAUAAUCACAGUAAUAACUAAACUAUUAUUGUGGUUGUCCUUUGCAUAGUAAAAGUAUCAUUACUUUAGUUGAAUAAUCACAGUAAUAGCUGACUAUUACUGUGGUUUUCUUUUGUUGGGUAAAAGUAUCUAUCACGAUAAUAACUAAAUUAUUAGUGAUUUUUAUUUGUAGGAUAAAAGAAUCUAUUACUGUAAUUAUGGAUCCACAGUGACAUAUAAACUAUUAAUGCAGACUUUUACCUACUAUUGUAAAAUCGAUAGUUAUAUCUUUUCACGAUGACACCUAUUAUCACGGUUUCUAAUCAUGAGAAUAAAAUUUACUACUGAUGAGGUAUUUUUUUGGUCCCAGCCACGUCCCAAUUGACGCACACCACGCCCUCGCCAAGUUAACAUGAGGAGUCCACACACCAAACAAGAUCCAUACCAAGGCAUUCCUCGGUACAUCCUAUCCCGGAAAGCUCGGGACGUCAUCGUAUGACGUCGUUCCGUGCAUUCCGGGACGACGACCGCACGAAGGUACUACCUCGCCCCUCGAGGAUUGGCUGGCGUGUCAAACCCGCGUAUGGCCAACCCUUGUACAAUAGUAUAAAAACUUCUGACCGACAUCUGGCUAGGGGGAGCCAAAAAAGAGAAUGGAAGAACAAUCGCGAACUUAGUCGUCGAGAGGCCAAAGUCGGGAACCACCCGACGAGGGCUUUAUAUGCAGGAGCGCGAUCGCCUUCGGAUGUCCGACCUCCCCGACCCGAGACGUACUCCCCAAAGACGGUGUCAGUAUCUCUACCGAGAAGCGCCCCCUCUCAGACCGCAUCCGCACCCUAACUUACAGACGAGACCGAUCGCGAGCUCCUAACAUCGACCCGUUGACCAGGCCGUGCAUCGGUUCACCAGCAAUUGCAGUUAAAACUACAGAAAUAUAUAAAUAAAAAUCAUAAUUACAAGUAUAAUUUGUUAUAAAAAAAUAUCUAUUAGUUCCGAAUCAGUAUCCCAUUCAAACAUCAAUGUCCUUACCUUUGUUCUUAUUUCACCCUCUCAAUAUACAUGAUCCAUCUUUAUCAUUUUUUCUACAUUAUUUUUUAUAUUUUAUAAAAAAAAUAAACUGUAUUGAUGCUCGACAUUUAUAAUUUAGAGUUUUAAUUUGCUAAAAUCAAGCACAAUAAGAAUCUCAUGGCCAAACUUUGACUAAAUCCUUCGUAAAUAAAUCUACCAUCAUCACACAAGAUGGGUCGAUACAUGCUUGAAUAAAUUAAUAGCUUCAUACAACAGACUAUGAUCGCCUGAAGGUAAUAAUCCUCCAUCAACACUGAUAUAAAUGAACUCAUUUCCUCAUGUAAAGAAUAUUAAAAGUACAAGAGAGACUAUCGAUGACAUCAUGAGUUGGCACCACUGUUCCUAUCAUUGCCAACUAUUUUCUAAGUCAAAAGGAUAAGUCGUAAUCCAGCCACAGAUGUGUUCUCCGGUGCUCAAACGCCAUCUUCUUUUCUCUCUUUUCCUUUGAAAGAGACAGUGCUGUUUGGAUCGUAGCAUUCUUUCUCUUACAAAGGAGUGAAUGGCAAAAAACACACAAUUAAUUUGUUAAAAUCAAGCACAAUAAUAAUCUCAUGGCCAAAGUUUGGCCAAAUCCUCCGUGAACAAAUCUAGAUCAUCACACAAGAUGGGUCGAGACAUGCUUCAAUAAAUUAAUAGGUUCAUACAGCAUGCUAUGAUCUCCCAAAGGUAAUAAUCCUCCAUCAGCACAGAUAUAAAUGAACUCAUUUCCUUAUGUAAUGAACAUUAGAGUACAAGAGAAACUAUCGAUGAUAUCAGGAGUUGGCACUGCUGGCCUUAUCAUUGUCAACUAUUUUUCUGAGACAAAAGGAUAAACGAUGACAGUCGUCAUCCACCCACAGAAGUGGUCGAGGUGUUCUCCGGUGCUCAAACACCAUCUUCCUUUCCUCUCGCUUUUCCUUUGGAAGAGACGAGUGCUUGUUGGAUCAUAGCACUCUUUCUCUUUCAAAGGAGUGCACGGCAAAAAAAACUUUCAUUUGAAAGAUAGCAUAGCAAUCACAUUAUUCUUCACGUAGCUGAGAUGCAUGAUGACCAUGUUUCCGGGAAAGAGAAAGAGAGUUUUGAUCUGAAUUCUCUUUGGAUAUGAGUAUUAUGUGAAGGAUUGGGAGAUAAGACCGAUGCUACAUUAAAGAUUCUUUUUUUUUUUGGUUUUUGUCGCUACUGAUAGUUUUGCUUUAUAUUUUAUAGGAUGCAUUUUCAUGUGGGUUUUAGGAUAUUAGAUUUAGUGAUUAAUAUAAUCAUUUGAAAAGAAAAAAAUCUAUUUUUUUCUAAUAUCAUGUUUAAAACAAAUAUUUUUUUAAGCAUUCACAAGAAAAAUAUGUCGAUCGACUUAUAAAACAAUGAGCCUUAGUUUAUUGAGUCCAGAAAUGAAAAUUCUAAUUUAUAAAUCUAAAGUAUUUUUCUUCGUUUAUAUAAAAAUAAUAAUUUUUAAUAAAAAAUAAAUAAUAAAAUUUAAAUUUAAAUCUUAAAGAUCCUUAUCAACUAAGCCAACCUCAUCUUGUUUUGUCAGAUCUCAGGAAGGAAAAGAAGAUGAAGAAACUACUGAUGGCUUCAUUUUAUUUCUUUUAAUUAAUAUAUGAGCGAAUUCUCAAAUAAAAUUUUUAUUUUUUAAGAUUUUUCUUAGAACACUUUUACUUUAAAAUUUUUUAAAAUAACACCUUGAUCAUUCGAAAAGAUUAUUUUAUCUAUUUCUUUUAUCGAAUAGAUUAAGGCUUUUCUAUUUAUAAUAGAUCAUAGAGAUUCAUACAAACACGAAAGGAUAUUUUUUUCUAUACUGCCUUCGACCACAGCCGUCCUUUGCCACGCACAAGAUUGGUUCUUCCACCUGCAUCCCUCGCAUGAGAAUUGUCACCCCUCUCAUUGCAUUCGGGGUCACCCCUAUUGAUUCUCGGUGAACAUCGUCCUCACAUGUUAGGUUUCAACAAAGUCAACGGUAGAAAUAAGAUCGAGAGGAUAAUGGUAAAAUAAUUAUUUUAUAAAAAAUAUUAUUUUAAAAACCUUUCGAAAUAAUAACUCUAAUGGAAAAUUUCAAAAAGUAAGGAAAAAACCCUUAAUGUAAUUACGAUUACUAUAUUUAGGAUAUUUGGUUGAAGAUUAAACAAAUCAGCAAAAUGUUAAAAAAAUAAAAAAAAAUGCCUCCUCUAGAUCUGUAAAUAAAUUAUUAGUUAAUUUACUGAUUUCUGCCUGUGAAUCCUCAACAUCUACCGACGUUGACCUAAUCAAUCUUUUCUCAAUGUCUCUAUCUAUCUUAUCUUUCUUUUUGUUGUUUGUUUACUUUUCUUAUCGCAUUAUAAGAGUGUAUAUACUUACAUUAACGGUUUAAAUAUCAGAAUCAAUCCCUUUGUUAUCUUAAUGAAGAACAUAUUAUCAUGUGCUCGAGUCGCUUCUCCUGCAAAUCAUCUGUUCUUUGUUAUCGAACCCCAAAAACAAAGCUAACUUAAGCAGAAAAGCUGGAGUUGCAUACCAAACUGGCUAUUAAAUCAAUGUUUAGCUUAUAAUAACUAAGAUUUAGGGAUUCUUUCACCGUAUAUUCGAUGAACGUGAAAGAGAUACAGUUCAUAAACAUAUUAUAUUUUUAGAAUUAAUGGAUACCCAUCUUUGUCAAAGACAUUGACUGUGUGAGAGUGACAGAAGCAAAGAGAAAGGCCACUCUUCUCCUCUCCAACCAUUCCCUCUCUUGGCUGUAGUCUUCUUCUGAAGUCAUCUUCGUCUUCCUGAUUUGCUUGGUUGGUGGUCGGUUGCAGGGCGAAGGGAUGGGGAUGGGGAGGCCGAGCGGAGCUUGGUCGACCCCGUGGUUGGUGGUGGUUCUUGUGCAUUGGCUCCUCUGCGCCACCGAGAGGAGGCGAGGGGCGGUGGUGGAGGCCUCCCAUGUGGAGUUUGCAUCCCUCCAAUCUGUUCCUGCCUCCGUCGUCGACAACAGGCUGAGGACUGGGUAUCACUUCCAGCCCCCGAGGAACUGGAUCAACGGUACGUUCCUCUCCUCCACCUCCUCCUCUUUGAUGCCCGGAGGCAUGCUUUGCCGGCGGCGCAUGUUAGCCGGGGGCCUGGUUCGGGGCUACAGUGCGCCUGUGGGUCCCGCCGGAACUGGAUCCGCCGGGUAACCCGUGUUGGUAUUAUUUUGGGGUUGACUUCCCCACGUAAUCGAGUGUUACGCGAUUCGUUAGACUGCUAAGAUUUCUUCUCUACCGUUUAAGCAUCUAAUCAACGUCUUUUUAACGGUGGAUUAAGCAAGAGGAAUCCGAGACCACCACGUAAGAGAAGCCGAUCCCCCCUUGUUUUACGCCGCCCUUUUCUGCAGCUCCACAGUAUCUUUGCAUUGUUAUGUAAUGGAUAAUGCCCUUGACAUUGUCAAUGAACAGCUGCUAGAAUUUACACCUUGUUAUUGGUCAGAUUUGUUUUAAUCGAAUGCCAACACUGAUGUGGUUUUUUAUGUCGUUGUCAUACUCUCCAUGGACGUGCCCAAAUGGGAUCAUCAUCCAAUGCACCAGAUCCAAAUGGUAUCAUCCUCUUCCUCUGAACCUUUCUUGGUCACAUAUGGAUUCGUGAAGCUAAUGGACGAGCAACCAAACCAGGACCCAUGUACUUCAAUGGCGUCUACCACCUCUUCUACCAGUACAACCCCAAUGGCUCCGUGUGGGGUAACAUCGUGUGGGCCCACUCGGUGUCGACCGACCUCGUCAACUGGAUAGCACUCGACCCGGCCAUCCGCCCCAGCAAGCCAUUCGACAUCAACGGAUGCUGGUCCGGCUCCGCCACCGUCCUCCCCGGCAACAGGCCUGUGAUCGUNNNN
This 8892-nucleotide long non-coding RNA is filed under the name Musa acuminata (dwarf banana). RNAcentral's name for it is "long non-coding RNA (MACU_LNC006058)". The record is from RNAcentral. Lineage: Eukaryota; Viridiplantae; Streptophyta; Magnoliopsida; Zingiberales; Musaceae.